CCUACGGGUGGCAGCAGUGAGGAAUAUUGGUCAAUGGGCGUAAGCCUGAACUAGCCAAGUCGCGUGAGGGAUGAAGGUUCUAUGGAUCGUAAACCUCUUUUAUAAGGGAAUAAAGUGUGGGACGUGUCCUAUUUUGUAUGUCCCUUAUGACUAAGGAUCGGCUAACUCCGUGCCAGCAGCCGCGGUAAUACGGAGGAUCCGAGCGUUAUCCGGAUUUAUUGGGUUUAAAGGUUGCGUAGGCGGCCUUUUAAGUCAGCGGUGAAAGUCUGUGGCUCAACCAUAGAAUUGCCGUUGAAACUGGGGGGCUUGAGUAUGUUUGAGGCAGGCGGAAUGCGUGGGGUAGCGGUGAAAGGCUUAGAUAUCACGCAGAACCCCGAUUGCGAAGGCAGCCUGCCAAGCCAUGACUGACGCUGAUGCACGAAAGCGUGGGGAUCAAACAGGAUUAGAUACCCCGGUAGUC
Molecule: ribosomal RNA, 460 nt
Filed under: uncultured bacterium
Lineage: Bacteria
Description: partial 16S ribosomal RNA
Rfam family: Bacterial small subunit ribosomal RNA
Source: RNAcentral